Molecule: non-coding RNA, 127 nt
Organism: Glycine max (soybean)
Lineage: Eukaryota; Viridiplantae; Streptophyta; Magnoliopsida; Fabales; Fabaceae
Source: Rfam
AGGCAGCCUUCUUGCCACAAUUGUAAAAUGGCAUUAAAGGUGUUAAACUACUCGUAAAUCAAAUGCUUUUGCUCUUCAGACUUGCUGAGAUUUUCUCUGAAGCUGGUCUAGUAGGCUCAAGCACAUU